CAAGCGUUGUCCGGAUUUAUUGGGCGUAAAGAGUUCGUAGGCGGUUUGUUAAGUCUGAUGUUAAAGACCGGGGCUCAACCUCGGAAAUGCAUUGGAUACUGGCAGACUGGAGUGCAGUAGAGGCUAGUGGAAUUCCCAGUGUAGCGGUGAAAUGCGUAGAUAUUGGGAAGAACACCGGUGGCGUAGGCGACUAGCUGGGCUGUAACUGACGCUGAGGAACGAAAGCCAGGGGAGCAAAUGGGAUUAGAUACCCCAGUAGUCCUGGCCGUAAACGAUGGAUACUAGGCGUAGUGGGUAUCGACCCCUGCUGUGCCGCAGCUAACGCGAUAAGUAUCCCGCCUGAGUAGUACGGCCGCAAGGUUGAAACUCAAAGGAAUUGACGGGGGCCCGCACAAGCGGUGGAACAUGUGGUUUAAUUCGAAGCAACGCGAAGAACCUUACCAGGACUUGACAUCUGUGGAAUCUUUCGGAAACGAGAGAGUGCUCGCAAGAGAGCCACAAGACAGGUGGUGCAUGGCUGUCGUCAGCUCGUGUCGU
This 537-nucleotide ribosomal RNA is filed under the name uncultured bacterium. Its description in RNAcentral is "bacterial SSU rRNA". It matches the Rfam family "Bacterial small subunit ribosomal RNA", at positions 535 to 1068 of the family's 1533-position model. The record is from RNAcentral.